UGAAUACUGAUGGGAGAAUUUAACAGAGC
This 29-nucleotide non-coding RNA is filed under the name Mus musculus (house mouse). The record is from RNAcentral. Lineage: Eukaryota; Metazoa; Chordata; Mammalia; Rodentia; Muridae.